This 464-nucleotide ribosomal RNA is filed under the name uncultured bacterium. RNAcentral's name for it is "partial 16S ribosomal RNA". It matches the Rfam family "Bacterial small subunit ribosomal RNA", at positions 28 to 506 of the family's 1533-position model. The record is from RNAcentral.
GACGAACGCUGGCGGCGUGCUUAACACAUGCAAGUCGAACGGAAAGGCCCCUUUGGGGGUACUCGAGUGGCGAACGGGUGAGUAACACGUGAGUAACCUGCCCUUGACUUCGGGAUAACUUCAGGAAACUGGGGCUAAUACCGGAUAGGAAUCCUUGCUGCAUGGUGGGGGUUGGAAAGCUUCGGCGGUUUUGGAUGGACUCGCGGCUUAUCAGCUUGUUGGUGGGGUAGUGGCUUACCAAGGCUUUGACGGGUAGCCGGCCUGAGAGGGCGACCGGCCACAUUGGGACUGAGAUACGGCCCAGACUCCUACGGGAGGCAGCAGUGGGGAAUAUUGCACAAUGGGCGGAAGCCUGAUGCAGCAACGCCGCGUGCGGGAUGACGGCCUUCGGGUUGUAAACCGCUUUCAGCAGGGGCGAAGCUUGUGGUGACGGUACCUGCAGAAGAAACACCGGCUAACUACGU